AAAAUAAAAUUUGAUUUUAAAAAAAUUUAAUUUUUAAACUAGGAUUAGAUACCCUAUUAUUUUAAGCUUAAUGUUGGUAGUAAGUAAAAAUUAUGAAAUCAUAAAAUUUUGGCGGUAUUUUAAGCUUGUUAGAGGAAUUUGCUCUAUAAUGGAUACAACGCCUAUAUCUUACUUAAUUUUGUAAAUAAAGUCAGUUUGUAUACCACUAUAUUUAAUUAUAUUGAAUAAUUAUAUUUAAGAUUUUUAUACAAAUAUAUAUUAAGUCAAGGUGCAACAAAUAAUUA
This 284-nucleotide ribosomal RNA is filed under the name Ixodes ricinus (castor bean tick). Its description in RNAcentral is "partial small subunit ribosomal RNA". The record is from RNAcentral. Lineage: Eukaryota; Metazoa; Arthropoda; Arachnida; Ixodida; Ixodidae.